Molecule: long non-coding RNA, 998 nt
Organism: Pollicipes pollicipes
Lineage: Eukaryota; Metazoa; Arthropoda; Thecostraca; Pollicipedomorpha; Pollicipedidae
Exons: 3
Source: RefSeq, a predicted model, not a curated record
GUAAAACGCUCGCGGUGGAGAUUUUUCUUCUAAAAAAGGAAUGAACAGUGGCACGGAUGGCAGAGAACAAGGCGCUAACACUUUUGAGAUGCCAGGUCCGCCCUAUCGUGGCGUUUGGUGCCGCCCUGGUCCACAACUUGAAGGCAAGGAGAGGAAGGUGGUGCGGAUGGUGGAAGAAAAGGAACAGCAAACAAGGCGCCCCUGGACAACAUGCUCUAUGUCCGGUCGGUUGGUGACCUGAAGGGUUUCCGGACCCAAAAAAUCAAUCGACGUCCAGGUGAGCAUAGUCUCCGAAGCCAUCGGACAUCUGGUGUCCAGCAAGCUGAUCCCGCCAUCGGCUGCGGCGCCGAGCUGCAGUUAAUCACCACGCAGGAUGCUGAUUGCUUCAGCAUCCUGCGUGGUGAGGAACGCACUAGCUCCAACCAAGCUCUCUUGAAAGUUUUGUGGAAACGUGGUCGCUCGAUCGAACCUUUCGUCAGUCUAGUUGUCCGCAUGUGGCUGCUCAGCCCUGUCGAAAGUGUGGUUGAGUCCAUGGGCAGCGUCUUCAAGGAGGUUUUCUUCAUAAAUCGGCAGCUGAGGCAUGACAAUGCCGCGAAAGAGCUCACGAUUCGAUGGAAUGGUUCUGAGCUUGAUGGUGCCGAACAUCUCAUAAGAGCUGUUCAGAAGCGUCACCAAUUUGACUUCGUGAGGCGGUCUGUCAACGUGAAGCACCUGCUCACGGGAACGGUGAUCGCCCGCCAUAGAGCAUACCAAUCAUAUCGCUCGUGCCUUUUCAAGUAGUUGAGGAGAAAAGGAGUGUUGACAUUGUGAGUCAGCCCUUGGAUCAAAUUUUGCAUGCGCGAUUAACGUCCUCGAGCUCACGGCGAGUGCCGAAGUACUGUGGACAAGGUUUCGUUGUGUGCUGAACUGUACGCGGCGUAUUUGGCAUUUUGUUCUGACACCAUGUCGGCGUGAUUUUGUACAUAUCCAAGAUGAAUGCAGUGUAAAUACAAAAAAUC